UUGAAGAAAAAAUUUAUCCGAUCGCAUCGGAUAUCAAAAAGAUAGAAUAGAUUAGCAAUUAAAAUUUUUAUAAUACUUAUAAAUUCUCAUUUUGAUUCAUAGUGGCAAAAAAUCAAGGUUGAAGAAGCUCCUCGAUCAAUAUACUUCGCAAGAUAUGGAUGCACGGAUCCUCUACUUUGCAUGCAUGCCAAACACUGUAGGAGAGAGAGAUGAACUGUUUCUUCAGAGAGAAAAGAGAGGAACACUUAAGAUCUAAUCUCAAGUCUUUAGAAUAGCCCACACACUGCCAC
Molecule: long non-coding RNA, 290 nt
Filed under: Elaeis guineensis (African oil palm)
Lineage: Eukaryota; Viridiplantae; Streptophyta; Magnoliopsida; Arecales; Arecaceae
Description: long non-coding RNA (EGUI_LNC044279)
Source: RNAcentral